AUGUAAAUUUUUAAAUAAUCUUGUCUAUAUCUACAAAAAUUAUUCCUGGGAUGUAUAUUAAACCUGUUCAUCAAUUUGAGAGAACUGACAUCUUUAUUAAGCUGAAUCUUCCAAUACAGAUAUUUCUACUUAUGUGGUUCUUCUUUAAUUUCUUUCAUCAGUAUUGUAUACUCUUCAUUUCAGUGUCCAUGUGUUCACUGAUAGUAUAGGGAUAUACAAUUGAUUUUUAUAUGUUUGUCUUGCAUCCUGUGACAUUACUGAACUUAGUUAUCAGGUCUUCUAAUGCUUUAUUUGUUUAGUAUCAUUCUUUUUCUCAUCUUUUGAACAUUUAACUCCUUAAGAAUCUGAAGUACACUACUUUUAUAGUAUAAAUUUCACAAGAAUUAUAUCUGAACUUCCUGAAGGUCAGAUUUUACAGGCAACUGAUUCUUAUGCACAGUCGAUUAUUUUCAUGUGUGUUUUGUAUUUUGGAUGUUAUGGUCUCCUCUUUAGUGACACAUUAUUAGCAGGAACUCAACAUAACCUGGUUUAUGCUGUUUAUGAUUUUACAUUUUCUUCUCAAGCACUCCAUGGAUAGUAUUAUUUUAGGACAAAUUUUUAUGUCAAUUUAAAAAUUAUGGAUGCAUUAGGGCACACCCACAAUCAAAAAUUACUUGAGAAUAAUUUUUCUACCAUAUAGAAAGCAUUUUUCCUUUAUAUGCUGGUGAUAUCACAAGAAACUAGGAAAAUGUCAGAAUUUUUCUGGUACAUUUUGCAGUCAGACUAUAGUUCUUUGAGGAUUUAAAUUUUCAGCAUCUCCGAAUUCAAAUUUCCCACUUCUUAUAGUCUGCUUUGUUUAACCAUCAAGACCAAGUUCCUUGGUUAGUGAAACUAAUAUUCAGUAUCCAAGACAAUCACAGUAGCACAAAUUAACUCAUACUAAUUUCUCUGAUGUUUCAUCUCCCUAUCAUCACCACCACCACUACCAUCCAUUUUGGACCAUAACUGAUUUCCUUUACUUUCUUAGAGUCAUGUGUUUAAGGGGACUUGUUCUACUUUUUCCAGCAUUUCAGAAUAUUUUGAAGUAUGAAGGGUUUAAUUUUAUUUAGACAUAAAUAAUAUCAGCUGUUAUUGUUUUUAUUAAGAUGGUCUCAAUAUUUUACUUAGAAUUUAUUAUCUAGGCUCAUACAUGAAAUGGGCUUUUAAUUUUAUUUCUUAGAAUUUUCAUUUGGCUUUGUAACUAAGGUUAUAGCUGCUUCUAAAUGAAUUGGGUGGCUUCAAUAUUUUAAUUUCUAGAACUAUCUGUAUAACAUAGAGAGAUUCUAUUACUCAAAUUUGUGGUGAAAUUCUGCUAGAAAACAUUCUAGGUCUGAGACUUUACUGGCAAGAAGCCUUUGAUCUCCACUGCUGUUACCUUCAGUGACUACUGGUUCACUCAUGUUCUUCUUUUCCUUAUACUCAUUUUGACAUUUUCUGAAAUCACCCAUUCUAUCUAUGCUUUCAACUAUAAGCAUAUAUUCCUUCAUGAUGUUAUUAUUAUUUUCUUUUAAAUAUGCUAUCAGUGGUGAUAUGGACUUUUUUCCUGCUGUAUUUUGUUCUUUGACUCUUCCUGUUUAGUCUACAUCAGUCCUGGGAGAGAGCUGACUGUCUGUCAUAAAGCUCUCAACCAGCUCUUGAUUUUGUUCUGUACUGAAGAACUUUAGAUACAAAAUCAUAAAAUUAAUGUCUUCCAGACUUUUUGGUUAUAAAGAUGUUUUCUACAGCUAUAAAUUCAAAAUAACAUCAAGCAAAUCAAGAAUUCAUUCACAUCUAGAUAGUGCUCAGAAUCAAUGUCUUUUUUUCUCACUAUGCCGGUAUUUUCAUGUCUAGCCCUCUUCACUAAUCACCUGAAUCAUAGCAUCCAUAUCACCCACUGUUAUGAUGAGCAAACCACCAGAACAAUCAAAGCAUCUGAGUUGCUCAGGCAACAGCUUUAUUCCAGCAGUUACCACAUCAUGACGAAUAGCAUUUUCCAUAAUAUAAAUCAUGCUUCCUAAGAAAACAAAAAUGUCAUCUUUACUUCCAUUGAUAAAAAUGCAUGCUGUUGAAGAAGGCCCUGUACUUACUUUAAAAAAAAAAAAAUGCAGAAAGCAAAGAGAACUCUUUCAAAAUUUUUUCAUAGGGGAAAUGAAACUAAGAACUUUAAAAUUAAAAGUGACCAUAGAAGUCAAAACAUUCAUCACCCUCAUUUUGAAGCAGUCUUGGCCCAGAUAAUUGACAAAUACAAGAUGACACAUGGAAAUCAGAACUAUGACCUGAUAAUGAAGUGAAUUUUUCUUCCUUACUGGAACAUGCUAGAAAAGGAGCAAAACUGCCAAGAUCUACAAACUUGAUAGUGAAGAAGGGAGGAUGAAGAAUGGGAAGUGCAAAUUACUCAAAUUGGUAUUACCGUUCUCACU
RNAcentral lists this long non-coding RNA (2417 nucleotides) under Sus scrofa (pig). RNAcentral describes it as "lncRNA (ENSSSCG00000058241.1)". The record is from RNAcentral. Lineage: Eukaryota; Metazoa; Chordata; Mammalia; Artiodactyla; Suidae.